UAAAAGGUUUUUAUCAAAACCACCUUCAUAAAAGUUAAAGCAGCAG
Molecule: non-coding RNA, 46 nt
Organism: Danio rerio (zebrafish)
Lineage: Eukaryota; Metazoa; Chordata; Actinopteri; Cypriniformes; Danionidae
Source: Rfam